RNAcentral lists this ribosomal RNA (253 nucleotides) under uncultured bacterium. Its description in RNAcentral is "partial 16S ribosomal RNA". It matches the Rfam family "Bacterial small subunit ribosomal RNA", at positions 524 to 776 of the family's 1533-position model. The record is from RNAcentral.
UACGGGGGGGGCAAGCGUUGUUCGGAAUUACUGGGCGUAAAGCGCGUGUAGGCGGCUUUUUAAGUCAGACGUGAAAGCCCUAGGCUUAACCUAGGAACUGCGUUUGAUACUGAAAAGCUAGAGUGUGGAAGAGGCUACUGGAAUUCCGUGUGUAGCGGUGAAAUGCGUAGAUAUACGGAGGAACACCAGAGGCGAAGGCGGCCUACUGGGCUGCACCUGACGCUGAGCCGCGAAAGCCAGGGGAGCGAACGGG